This 429-nucleotide ribosomal RNA is filed under the name Verrucomicrobiota bacterium. Its description in RNAcentral is "Verrucomicrobia bacterium partial 16S ribosomal RNA". It matches the Rfam family "Bacterial small subunit ribosomal RNA", at positions 355 to 776 of the family's 1533-position model. Lineage: Bacteria; Pseudomonadati; Verrucomicrobiota. The record is from RNAcentral.
UAGGGAAUCUUCGGCAAUGGGGGGAACCCUGACCGAGCAACGCCGCGUGAGUGAAGAAGGUUUUCUGAUCGUAAAGCUCUGUUGUUAAGGAAGAACGAGUGUGAGAAUGGAAAGUUCAUGCUGUGACGGUACUUAACCAGAAAGGGACGGCUAACUACGUGCCAGCAGCCGCGGUAAUACGUAGGUCCCGAGCGUUGUCCGGAUUUACUGGGCGUAAAGCGAGCGCAGGCGGUUAGAAAAGUCUGAAGUGAAAGGCAGUGGCUCAACCAUUGUAGGCUUUGGAAACUGUUUAACUUGAGUGCAGAAGGGGAGAGUGGAAUUCCAUGUGGAGCGGUGAAAUGCGUAGAUAUAUGGAGGAACACCGGUGGCGAAAGCGGCUCUCUGGUCUGUAACUGACGCUGAGGCUCGAAAGCGUGGGGAGCGAACAGG